Non-coding RNA from Caenorhabditis elegans, 21 nucleotides. The record is from Ensembl. Lineage: Eukaryota; Metazoa; Nematoda; Chromadorea; Rhabditida; Rhabditidae.
UUUUGUCUGAAAAUAAGGAGU